CAACAGGCUCGCUUAGGUCCCUCCUGUCACUGAACCCAUCACUGUCCGGGGCUGGGCAGUGGGGGCUUUGCCAGGCCUGGCUCGUGCGCUCCCCGGGGCCUGGGGUUCAGGAUCAGCUCAGCCCAAACACAGGGACUGAGGUGGGAAAGUGAAUUCUCACAUGCAGUCGGGUCUGUUCAUACAAGGAGGGGAGUGGAUGCUGGGGGACGCACAGGAGAUGUUCCCUCCGCGAAGGGGACGUGCAGGACCACACCACGCUGCCCGAGAAUCACCAAGGACUCAGAGGGAGGAGGAGGCGAGAGAGAGGAAGAGGCUGAGGUAGGGAGACUCCGGUUCCCCCUCCUGCCUAGCACGGUGUCACCGGGCGUGACAGGAGGGGGCUGGACAAGGUUCAGGGAGCAUGUGACCAUCAGGGUCCUGCUGGUGAGAAAGGAGGGCAUGCCCCGGCGAGACAGCUGGCAGAGUCUGUCAUCGUCCAAUUAACCGGCUCAGGAGAUCUGCGUUUACGGCCGAGGACACACGCAGCUGUUUUCCAUCCAAGGUUCAUAAUUUACUUCUUCACCAACACGAAUUCCUGCAUUUGAGAAUUUCCCAAAUCUCCACCCUCCUUGGGGCGCACAGACAUGCCCCCUGCAGCGCCUGCAUUAGCCGCUUUUCCGUGCCCGGCACAGAUCACCCCCCUCCUGGUCGCCCGGGCUGCGGGGCCUCAGCUGUCCUCCAUCUGCAGACCAGCCGCCGAGGGAUUAAAAACCUCCUCGCUGGCCAGGGAGCCUGGGCUUGUCCUCCAGCAGCUCCGGCCUGGAUGCGGUCCCAGAGAUAAAUCAUAUCUCUUUAAAAGGCCACAACGGCCCAUUAUUUCUGCUUGAAAAUACCCCUGGAUCUUCACUUGAGAGCUGGGGUGACAGGCCCCGGCUGUGGUGCUCAGCUCUGCAUAAAAUCGCUGUCAGCCGGUCAACUUCUGUCACGAGCAGGCUGGCAGCUUCAGACGGAGGGUAAGGAAGAUCCCCUCCCCGGCUCCAGGACCUGGCCGGAGGCUCCCGAGAGUCCCGCCUGCAGAAGAAGCGGGAACCUCCACCAUCCUUGGGCUCAUGCCCACGUGAAGUGCCCUGUUCCUGCCCGGUCAACAUGGUGAGGAGCCAAAACGACAGGGCGAUUCCUGGUCUGCAUUUCGAGAUAUCCUGUGAUACUUCCUCAAGUAAACAGCAAUCGGAAAUAAUAAACCGAGCACAACUGAACAAUUAUUGUGGAUAUUUUCACCCAGAAGAAUAUAAUGCGCCUCCACAUUCCCAUCACUUGGAUUCCACAGGGACCAGGAUUUGCCCCACUCCCUCCAGCUCUCACCCCUCUUCCUGCCAGCGUGUUUUAAAGCAAAUCCCAGACCUCACGUGGAUGUCUUCUACCAUAGCUGCAGCGUCCUUGUCACUUCUAAAGUUCAAACUUCCCCACUUGUCUGGCAAAUGUCUUCCUCUCAUUGCUUUUCCGGAAUCAGGAUUCGAACAAGGCCCCGUCCUUGGUCGUGAAGGGACGGACAGAUGCUCUUCCUUUCUCUUUCUUUCUUCUUCCUCUUCUUUCUCUUUUUCUGUGUUCGUUUGUUUGGUUUUGUUUCCCCGAAGUUAA
RNAcentral lists this long non-coding RNA (1617 nucleotides) under Equus caballus (horse). Its description in RNAcentral is "lncRNA (ENSECAG00000059357.1)". The record is from RNAcentral. Lineage: Eukaryota; Metazoa; Chordata; Mammalia; Perissodactyla; Equidae.